CUUUAUCCUGUGGGGUCUACUCCCUGUCUCUCUGAGGAGGAAAAAGGCAACAGUUGAUACUGCCGUGAAGCUGUAAGCCUGAAAGAUGGAGGAAUGGAAACUUCAAUGUCUUUAACGAUGCUAAUUCAAGCUUGUGGACCUGUGAACCAUUUUUGCAACCAAAAGCUUAUGAAAUGCAUUGCAGUGGGCUGAGUAGUGUCCAUCAUGUCUACAGUUUAGCAGGAGAAAGCAAAGGAACAAGAGAGUAGAAGAUAACUUCAAUGGGGAAAGCAACUAGCCUUUGCACAAGUGGCUUUUAGGCCUGAGCAUAUGAAUUGGACAUAUUCAUUUCCUCAAACUGUAUAUUUUCAUGGCUCUUUCCUCGAUGGCUUACAUGUAUGUGUUGGAAUCAGUUCUGUCUUAUCAUCAUUGCCAUGGUUACCUUAUCAUUAUUGUAUGUAUGUGUUGCUGUAUUACUAUUGCAGAUAUCCUACCAAAGUUCCCUAAAGCAAAAUGAUGCCAGAACUUACUCUGCACACAUCCCAAACUACUAAGCAUUUGUAUCUUUUAUGAUUUCUUUCCCAGCUAAAACAAAGUUGGCUUGAACAUCUCUGCUGAAAUAAAGCUGUUUGCCCUUUCUGGGUAGAGAACAAAUUACUCCAUACAUCAUCUUUACCAUAAGCCAAUUCCUUACAUCAAAUGCAAAAACCUCCUCCUGCUUAACUGGACUCCUCAGCAGCCUGAUUUGUCUUUACUUCCAUUACUACAUUGCUAAAAAUCACAAGAUAGUUGAUGUCUGCAGCAGGGAAGACACGUCAGCCUCUGAAACGAGGCUGUCAUGAUACAGCAAACGCAGAGGUCAUUAUAGCAGGGUAGGGCACAUCUCAAAGGCCAGGACAGAGAAAAGUUUGAAUUUGGGAUGAAAAAUAUCUUUGCUGGGGGCACGAUGCCACAGGGCUACAAAGAUUGUCAGAGAUACGGAACAUCUCUCCUAUGACGACAGGUUGAGAGAGUUGUUCAGCCUGAAGAAGACUCUGGAUAGACAUUACUGCAGCUUUUGAAUACUUAAAGGGAGCUUAUAGGAAAGAUGGCAAAAGACUUUUUGUAGAACCUGUAGCAAUAGGACAAGGAGUAAUGUUUUUAAACUAAAAGAGGGUAGAUUCAGACUAGAUGUAGGAAAGAAAUAUUUUAUUAUGAGGGUGGCGAAACACUGAAACAGGUUGCCCAGAGAGG
Myiozetetes cayanensis is the source of this 1212-nucleotide long non-coding RNA. RefSeq lists it as uncharacterized. The record is from RefSeq and is a predicted model, not a curated record. Lineage: Eukaryota; Metazoa; Chordata; Aves; Passeriformes; Tyrannidae. The transcript has 3 exons.